This is a long non-coding RNA of Scophthalmus maximus (turbot), 6432 nucleotides long. RefSeq lists it as uncharacterized. The transcript has 5 exons. The record is from RefSeq and is a predicted model, not a curated record. NCBI's taxonomy places the organism in Eukaryota, Metazoa, Chordata, Actinopteri, Pleuronectiformes, Scophthalmidae.
GGCAAAAUUUAAACAACAGAUGAAAACGUUGCAUAUUCAAAACUUCUCCAAAUCAUUUCCAGGCCUGGAAAACAGUUUUUCUAAUUACAUACCUUUUCAAAAAUAACACCAGCCUUGUUCUUAAAAUAACACAAAUCUUCACGUGUCAACACGUGUUGCUGCUUUUCAGUUUCAACAACUUCACAUAGCUGCAGAGAAGCUUCAGGGUCCCUUCCAUGUAACGUAUUCAUUUGCAUUCCCAUCUUGACAGAUAUGAUGAAUAUAUUAUGAUGAGGAUGUGCACCCUAUGGAUGGACAUUUUACUAGUAGAGGUCAGCAACUUAGAAGUCAGGCGACCCAGCAGCCAGUCAUCUAUCUAGGUUGAACGAAAAACAUUGGUGGAGGAUGAGAAGAAAAGUUUAGACUGAAAAAAACACCAGAUUAUAGCUUCAUUACUGUAUGUCUAUUUUAUUCAAACAAAUGUUCAGCUUCAUUUCUGUAUCCUUUAAAAUAAAAGUCACUGAGAACUGGCGUCAAUGACUGGACUCAAACUAUAUUUUUAUGUUCAGUUACAAAACCAAAAAAGGGGGGAAAAGAAUGAGGAGCCAAUUCUUAAUGACAGAUGAAAAGCUAAACAUUCUCUACAAGGUAAACUUCCAUUCAGCUGUAUAGGAAUUAAAUUUUAGACCUUUCUGUAACCCCUGGGUUAUUUUUGUGCAUAAACCCAGGGGUAGUUCCCUUUUUACAGUUCUAUAAUAUGCAAUACAUGGUUUAAAUUUGUGAUAGCAUUUAAAUUUAUUGUAGAACAUUUGAGUUAUUUUGAGAGACUUUAUUUUUUUUAAAUAAUAUAUAAUUUGAAGCUGUAAAGAAGGGGCAGGACCAGAUUAGCUUCUGCCUCUUUCUGUCCCUUCUCGAACCUAAAUAAUGUACGUACAAGAUUCAUGUUGACUGGAGAUUUUUGUCGUGGAAAAUAUUUCAUUUUUCUAUUUUGAAAUUGAUAUGUUUUGUUUUGUUCCACAUCAAUAAAGAUUAAAUCAAAUCAAAACAUGUGGAGUAGUGUAAAUUACUACGACAUUGAAUGUAACCUCAACAGGAAACCUACGCCUGUGUGUUGUGUUCUCCCUUUCUAUUGGUCAGUCAAAACGCAACGUCAAGUUCUUUAGUUACUGAUUGGCCAGGGGACGGGACUACGACGUACGGUGAUGCAAAAAAAGAAAGGGUGUGUCGAGAGGUCAGAUCUGUCGUUGGUUCGUUGCGGCCUCUCGUCGUCAUCUCUCAGCGAGAAUACGGAAAGAAAACUCAUAUAAUGUGCUUCAAAUAGAUUUUUAUGCACAAUACAAAGCAGUGAGUUAAAGUCCGUGACAUUUAGAAAAAUAACCGAAGCAAGUGUUUGUUUUGGCUAAACUAUUAGCGCGCUAAACACUAGCACGCUACGCACUAGCACGCUAAGCACUAGCACGCUAAACUGCUAGCACGCUAAACUAUUAGCACGCUAAGCUACUAGCACGCUAAGCUUCUAGCACGCUAAACUACUAGCACGCUAAACUACUAGCACGCUAAGCUUCUAGCACACUAAAGUACUAGCACGCAAAGCUACUAGCACGCUAAACUACUAGCACGCUAAGCUUCUAGCACACUAAACUACUAGCACGCUAAGCUACUAGCACGCUAAGCUAGCGCGCCUGGAUUUUGGCCGAGCGCAAACCGCCAGCUGGCACCUCUGACUGUGGAGCUCAACAGACCGUCGACGAACGAGAGGUAAACCGGAUAGCGGCACCAGAUGACCGGGUAAAACUCAGCUGCACCUCGGGCAACGAGGCAGGUGAGACGUUCUUCAUCCAAGGUCGACGACUGAGGAGCCGGCAGAGUUGGACUGGACUCGGAUCCAUGACGGGAUUUAAAGAUUGACUUGAGGGAAAUGGCAUUUCCACGUAAGCACCAUAAACCGCAGGACGAGGAGUGUGUAAAACGCCGUGCUUGCAACCCAGAGCUUGAAGCCUUCACAGCCUUCUGCACCGAAACAAACGCCACCACUGGACUGGAGUAUGGGACAAGAGUUAAUCUAGUUGUUCAGGAGCGACUCAUCGAUGCAAAUUAUUUGAGUCGACGAAUUUAUGUAGUCGAUUAUGUUGACUACGUCGACGAGUCGUCCCAGCCCUAACACACACACACACAGGCCAUGUUGUAUCAAUCAGAAGCUUUGAUAAGCACCGACUGCUACACGACUGCUGUGUGGUGACCACGAUGAUUCACACUUCGACGGCGACCGAGCAAAGUCAAAUUGCCGAUGCAGACUGCGCGACCCAGUGAACGCUCCACAUCAAGUGAACUCUCCACAUCAAAUCAAGUGAACGCUCCACAUCAAUUGGGGAAAAGCAAGUUUGACGAUGGCGAUGUCUCACUGGCCAGAAGAUCUGCUGUGUCAGCGGGUCGGCGUUCCCAUACACCUGCACUUCAGUCGGUGGAAAUAGUUGGAGCUCUCUGACUUGCUGGUCACAUCCUGUUUGUGAGACCCCUGUGGCAACGAACAUCUCCCCUCCUCCCCAAUGCAUUCAGGAGCAGCUGUUGGAGAGAAGAGAGAGUCCAGAGAAAAUGAUGAGGACAUUUGGAAUCAUUUCCUCCACACUUUCCGCAGACGGACGGACAAAGGUACGGACCUUCCCUUUGUCUGUCUGCAUCGUCCCUGACCCCUGUCUGCCUCCCCUUUCCUCGUGUUCCUCCUGGGAAGGUGAUCCACACAUCAAAGUGCUCUGCCACCUAUUCAGGGACAAUCAGCCAAUAUGGGAUAAUUGGCUGUUGUCGUCGGUUCCCCCUCAAGCCCACAGUGCAUUUCUGACAGGAAAGGAGCAUAAAUAAAAGAAGAGAAGAAUGACAGGGCUUGUAGCCCGAAGCAGGUGAAUGGACAAUGAAAGCCAGGGAACAGUGAGCGAUGACAUGCAUAUCAAUGGUGCCACUGCAAGGUAAACAAUGACUCUUAAUCACCAGGCCAAGUUUUAAUUAAGAUGACGGCAGAGUUAAUUAUUUUCCCCUGACAGGGAUCAUUGAGCUGCGGAGUCCAUGUUCUGAUUAGGACGCUCAUCUGGAUGCUUCCAAUCCUUUAGGAAGGCGAUAAUGACAUGACCUCUUGUUUUCAGAGGACAACUGGGUGGCACAGGGAGGGAGUCCUUUUUUCUGACAUUGCUGAGUACACUUCAGGAAUUUAAUAAAUCUCACAUACAUAUCAGCAAGAACAGCACAAAGGUUCAACGAUUUAAACUCUGCAAACUACUGGGGUGGGCGUUUUCCUUUCACUGUCAUUUUUGGCAGUAUAGUGUAGCUGGUAAUAGUUUGUAUUUUUCUGACAAAUCCCUUGUGAGUAAAAACAACAGUAUUAAAUUCACCCUAAAACAUUAAUUAUCUGUCAUAAAACUUGUUCCUUUGCGCAAGAGUUGUUGCCCCAAAAUCAAUCAAUGCUGUUGCACUGGGGAAACGUUCAUCUACAGAUUAAUGUAGACUUUCACCUACCGUACAGUGUUUGAACUAAAAGUCAUUUUAAUGAAACAUUGCUGUAGAUAAUUUGCCACUGGUGACUCAUUUAGAACCACUGCAAACAGCUCCUGUGUUUGGGGUCUCCUGUCUGGAGAAUUGUCCCUGAUACUGUGUUACCAGUGUAAUUUGGGAAAGUUUCGUGGAGAAGUUGGUUGCUAUCUCUGCUGACCAGUCACUACCUGGAGCUGACCUCCCAAGAGAGAGUGUGAUUUUUGACUACAGAGUGAAGAUGUCUGCGACAGGUACAGGCAGCUGCAGAGCAACUUCAAAUGUUGUCUGACCUCCCCAUCCGUCUCCCUCCCUGCAAUUAAGUCCAUUCACUUACUUUUGGCUAAUCUCAUAUAUCUCAGCCAAAAAUCGGUUGUUUUUUUUGUUUUCUAUAAAGCUCCGGGAGGGAGCAAAAUAUAAAACUGAGACUUAUAUGCCCCCCUUCAAACCCACCUGGUCCCCGGCGACAAGUUUACUGCUUGGGCAAAGUUUGCUUGGAUAAAUUCUCCCCAAUUCAGCUCUCCAGUUAAUUUUACAGAAACCACGAGUAUAAAAAGAUAUUGUUCCGAUUUACCUGCAUUCUAAACUAAUAAAACAGCAUUUCAGUAGGACUCCCUGCCUUUUUUUAGCAGUUGUGAAUUCCCGUUGUUUGUCCAUUUCCCCAUUUUUUAUAUCCCUUUAUUCCGUAAGUUUCCAUUGCAAAAUGUCAGGUAACUUCUAAUUCUUCAUUUUUCCCAACAUGAAAAACUUGACAGGAUCUGAAAAAAUAACAGGGCAGUUGCUUUUGUCAGCAAUUCUAACAGUGUCCAAACUAUCUUGCAUUUAAGUUAUAUUAUCUUUUUGGAAAAUCAUAGGAUUAUUUAAAGUUGAAUAUCAGAUUGUUUUUCUAACCUAUUUGUCUCCCUACCUUACCAUCCAUCAUUCUAUCACUUUGCCAUCAGCGCUGUCUGUAUGACAAAGGCGCUAAACAACCUUGAGAUAAUGUAUGUUGUGAUUUGGCGCUAUACAAAUAAUAUUGAAUUGAAUUAAACUGUGAAGAAACUUAAAUUACCCCAACAAAAGCACAAUUUCUUCCUCUUUGAGCAAAGCUAGGAAAUCACUCAUCAUCUCAUACAAAGCUGGGUACAAAAAAUAUAGAAUAACACCAGCCUUACUAAUCUUUGGAAUAGUUCAAGAUGAGUUUAUUGCACUCAUAUCAAUUCCCUGUUCAAUUAGGCAUAAUGGGGAUUACAUAGGGGAGUCAAGUCAGAUUGAUUAAACUGCCAAGUACCUGCAAUAAAACAGGCAUGUCAGGGAUUUCAUCAAUCUCCUGUAUUAUUACUUUUAUUAUAUUAUUAUAUUUUCAAGUUUCCUUGAAUCAUGUUCACACUUUAUUUCACACUUUAUCGUGUUUUUGAUGCUUGCUGACAACAGCGUCGGAGGAAUACUGCUGAUUUUCUGAGUAUCGAUUAGACUUAAUUGAGGACAGCUUGUUUUUGCUUUUGAAAUCCAGCAGGACUGCUGAUGCUGGCCUUUUAAGAAAAGUUCUGAAUGCUUUUCACCUAGGUGAAUUAUUCACUGCUGUUGACUGCACCAGUCCUUUGCUCUUCACUUAUGAAUGAAGGGCUGUGAUGUGGCGCGAGAUUCGCCCCUGAUUCUCGGAACCUCACGUUGACAUACAGACAUUUGGAGGUCAGCGGAAUUACUUUAUGUUCCCGAUCAUACUAAUCACUCAGGUUGUUCUUUAUUUCAGUGCAUGUUGAAGCUUUGAAGUUAUUUAUGCAUGGGAAGAUGUCAUAUCACAAUUGACUUCACAGCUAUUACGUCCAUCAAACGGAGUAAUUGACUGAGACAUUAAUCAUCCUCACACAGCUGUCAUAGCAGCAGUCAGUCAGACUAAAUAUAAUACAUCUGCAGGUUACAGCCUCCUUACAGGUUUCUUGAUUAUCAAGCACGUGCUGAACUUUUCAAAACAAACCUUUUACCCAAACGCCUCCUUCUGUAGUUAAUUUUCCCUCCAUGCAGAUAAUUCAAUUCAAUUUUAUUUGCCAAAUCACAACAUGGAUUAUCUCAAGGCACUUGUGAGGUCGAGACCACACAAAUAUUACAGAGAACAGUUCCCACAAUGAGCAAGCACUUGGCGUCCUUUACACCAGGUAAUUAGACAACACGGCUAUGAUGAUGUCAUUGACAUUCUCACCUCAAUUUAUAUAUCGUUUACAGCUCUAAAAUGUCUUUGAGCAUCUUAAAGUCUGAGAAAAUCAUCUAAGAUUGGAGAAUAAAGGAUUAACGGAAAGACAGAAAUAUUUAGAAGCUUCUGUUAGAGUGGAUCUUGGUAGAAAAGAAGAAAAAACUAUUAUUAAAAAUACUAGGUGUCUAUAGGGACAUCAUUCAAAUACAGCAGAGAAACUAUUAUAGUCAUCCAGUCUGGUGCAGCUCAAUCACAACCACUCUGGGCACCUAUGUCAAAAACAUAUUUAUAACCUUUGUUAGGAUCAAUACAGGAAUAGCUUGAGCGAUGAAAGAAUUGAAAGCCGUAUACCACCCACAUUGCCAAACAGUCUCAAAGCUGCCUUUAUCUAGAUCUGUCAUUUAUAACUGAGUUUAAUAUCAAAAUAAAAUGUCGCUGUGACUACAUUGUGUAGGGAAUUUAAAACAAAGUUCCUGCCGGUUGUUGGGGGGCCAUAUGUGGAGACUCAAUAGCAAUUGUGCCAAACCACACACUGGAGAACAACUUUGCGGGGUAUUUAAAGUUUGCCUGGAAAUGUCACUUGUACAGAUGGUGUUGAAAAUGAAGCAGACAGCAGGUAGUGACAUGAUGAAGCCGUGACUGGGAAGUGGUGAUGCAGGGACUAGUAAUAUGGGAUACGGUUGUAAUAACAUUGUGGACUGCAUCACUCUGCUUGGACUCUUUGAGACCAUAAAGAUGGAAACACACAAACCUGGACAGGCCAACUU